AGACCCGAAACCCGGUGAUCUAGCCAUGGGCAGGUUGAAGGUUGGGUAACACUAACUGGAGGACCGAACCGACUAAUGUUGAAAAAUUAGCGGAUGACCUGUGGCUGGGGGUGAAAGGCCAAUCAAACCGGGAGAUAGCUGGUUCUCCCCGAAAGCUAUUUAGGUAGCGCCUCGUGAAUUCAUCUCCGGGGGUAGAGCACUGUUUCGGCUAGGGGGCCAUCCCGGCUUACCAACCCGAUGCAAACUGCGAAUACCGGAGAAUGUUAUCACGGGAGACACACGGCGGGUGCUAACGUCCGUCGUGAAGAGGGAAACAACCCAGACCGCCAGCUAAGGUCCCAAAGUCAUGGUUAAGUGGGAAACGAUGUGGGAAGGCCCAGACAGCCAGGAUGUUGGCUUAGAAGCAGCCAUCAUUUAAAGAAAGCGUAAUAGCUCACUGGUCGAGUCGGCCUGCGCGGAAGAUGUAACGGGGCUAAACCAUGCACCGAAGCUGCGGCAGCGAACGUAUCACCCAAGACAACUUUACGGAGUUGACGAUUGACGGAGCGAAGCGACGUCAAAGCGUUCAUUAAAGUCGAGUUGGCUUAGGGAUACGUUCGUUGGGUAGGGGAGCGUUCUGUAAGCCUGUGAAGGUGUGUCGUGAGGCAUGCUGGAGGUAUCAGAAGUGCGAAUGCUGACAUAAGUAACGAUAAAGCGGGUGAAAAGCCCGCUCGCCGGAAGACCAAGGGUUCCUGUCCAACGUUAAUCGGGGCAGGGUGAGUCGACCCCUAAGGCGAGGCCGAAAGGCGUAGUCGAUGGGAAACGGGUUAAUAUUCCCGUACUUGGUGUUACUGCGAAGGGGGGACGGAGAAGGCUAUGUUGGCCGGGCGACGGUUGUCCCGGUUUAAGCGUGUAGGUGUGUGUUCCAGGUAAAUCCGGUUCACUUUAACACUGAGGCGUGACGACGAGGCACUACGGUGCUGAAGCAACAAAUGCCCUGCUUCCAGGAAAAGCCUCUAAGCAUCAGGUAACAUCAAAUCGUACCCCAAACCGACACAGGUGGUCAGGUAGAGAAUACCAAGGCGCUUGAGAGAACUCGGGUGAAGGAACUAGGCAAAAUGGUGCCGUAACUUCGGGAGAAGGCACGCUGACACGUAGGUGAAGUGAUUUACUCAUGGAGCUGAAGUCAGUCGAAGAUACCAGCUGGCUGCAACUGUUUAUUAAAAACACAGCACUGUGCAAACACGAAAGUGGACGUAUACGGUGUGACGCCUGCCCGGUGCCGGAAGGUUAAUUGAUGGGGUCAGCGCAAGCGAAGCUCCUGAUCGAAGCCCCGGUAAACGGCGGCCGUAACUAUAACGGUCCUAAGGUAGCGAAAUUCCUUGUCGGGUAAGUUCCGACCUGCACGAAUGGCGUAAUGAUGGCCAGGCUGUCUCCACCCGAGACUCAGUGAAAUUGAACUCGCUGUGAAGAUGCAGUGUACCCGCGGCAAGACGGAAAGACCCCGUGAACCUUUACUAUAGCUUGACACUGAACAUUGAGCCUUGAUGUGUAGGAUAGGUGGGAGGCUUUGAAGUGUGGACGCCAGUCUGCAUGGAGCCGACCUUGAAAUACCACCCUUUAAUGUUUGAUGUUCUAACGUGGACCCGUAAUCCGGGUUGCGGACAGUGUCUGGUGGGUAGUUUGACUGGGGCGGUCUCCUCCUAAAGAGUAACGGAGGAGCACGAAGGUUGGCUAAUCCUGGUCGGACAUCAGGAGGUUAGUGCAAUGGCAUAAGCCAGCUUGACUGCGAGCGUGACGGCGCGAGCAGGUGCGAAAGCAGGUCAUAGUGAUCCGGUGGUUCUGAAUGGAAGGGCCAUCGCUCAACGGAUAAAAGGUACUCCGGGGAUAACAGGCUGAUACCGCCCAAGAGUUCAUAUCGACGGCGGUGUUUGGCACCUCGAUGUCGGCUCAUCACAUCCUGGGGCUGAAGUAGGUCCCAAGGGUAUGGCUGUUCGCCAUUUAAAGUGGUACGCGAGCUGGGUUUAGAACGUCGUGAGACAGUUCGGUCCCUAUCUGCCGUGGGCGCUGGAGAACUGAGGGGGGCUGCUCCUAGUACGAGAGGACCGGAGUGGACGCAUCACUGGUGUUCGGGUUGUCAUGCCAAUGGCACUGCCCGGUAGCUAAAUGCGGAAGAGAUAAGUGCUGAAAGCAUCUAAGCACGAAACUUGCCCCGAGAUGAGUUCUCCCUGAGACUUAGAGUCUCCUGAAGGAACGUUGAAGACGACGACGUUGAUAGGCCGGGUGUGUAAGCGCAGCGAUGCGUUGAGCUAACCGGUACUAAUGAACCGUGAGGCUUAACCUU
Molecule: ribosomal RNA, 2323 nt
Filed under: Salmonella enterica
Lineage: Bacteria; Pseudomonadati; Pseudomonadota; Gammaproteobacteria; Enterobacterales; Enterobacteriaceae
Also listed under: 2 other names
Description: partial 23S ribosomal RNA
Rfam family: Bacterial large subunit ribosomal RNA
Source: RNAcentral